Molecule: unclassified non-coding RNA, 379 nt
Filed under: uncultured Gammaproteobacteria bacterium
Lineage: Bacteria; Pseudomonadati; Pseudomonadota; Gammaproteobacteria
Description: contains 16S-23S intergenic spacer region
Source: RNAcentral
UCCGGUUUGUCACCGGCAGUCUCCUUAGAGUUCCCGCCUUUACGCGCUGGCAACUAAGGACAAGGGUUGCGCUCGUUACGGGACUUAACCCAACAUUUCACAACACGAGCUGACGACAGCCAUGCAGCACCUGUCACUGCGCUCCCGAAGGCACCCCUCCGUCUCUGGAGGGUUCGCAGGAUGUCAAGACCUGGUAAGGUUCUUCGCGUUGCAUCGAAUUAAACCACAUGCUCCACCGCUUGUGCGGGCCCCCGUCAAUUCAUUUGAGUUUUAACCUUGCGGCCGUACUCCCCAGGCGGUCAACUUAGUGCGUUAGCUGCGCCACUAAAGACUCUAAGGUCCCCAACGGCUAGUUGACAUCGUUUACGGCGUGGACUAC